GCUUAGAGUUUGAUCCUGGCUCAGGAUGAACGCUGGCGGUAUGCUUAACACAUGCAAGUCGAACGGAGUACAUUGUACUUAGUGGCGGACGGGUGAGUAACGCGUGAGAAUCUGCCUUCAGGAUGGGGAUAACAGUGGGAAACCAAUGCUAAUACCCAAUGAGCCGAGAGGUAAAAAAUUUAUUGCCUGAAGAGGAGCUCGCGUCCGAUUAGUUAGUUGGUGGGGUAAAGGCCUACCAAGGCGGCGAUCGGUAACUGGUCUGAGAGGACGAUCGGUCACACUGGGACUGAGACACGGCCCAGACUCCUACGGGAGGCAGCAGUGGGGAAUUUUCCGCAAUGGGCGCAAGCCUGACGGAGCAAUACCGCGUGAGGGAGGAAGGCCUUUGGGUUGUAAACCUCUUUUCUUAAGGAAGAAGCUCUGACGGUACUUAAGGAAUCAGCAUCGGCUAACUCCGUGCCAGCAGCCGCGGUAAUACGGAGGAUGCAAGCGUUAUCCGGAAUUAUUGGGCGUAAAGCGUCCGUAGGCGGCAUUAUAAGUCUGCUGUCAAAGACCGCAGCUCAACUGCGGAGAGGCAGUGGAAACUGUAAAGCUAGAGUCUGGUAGGGGUAGAGGGAAUUCCCAGUGUAGCGGUGAAAUGCGUAGAGAGUGGGAAGAACACCAGUGGCGAAAGCGCUCUGCUGGGCCAGAACUGACGCUGAGGGACGAAAGCUAGGGGAGCGAAAGGGAUUAGAUACCCCUGUAGUC
This 747-nucleotide ribosomal RNA is filed under the name uncultured cyanobacterium. RNAcentral describes it as "bacterial SSU rRNA". It matches the Rfam family "Bacterial small subunit ribosomal RNA", at positions 1 to 795 of the family's 1533-position model. Lineage: Bacteria; Bacillati; Cyanobacteriota. The record is from RNAcentral.